GUGAGAGUGCUUUGAACACUCUUUCGUGGUCUUCCACCGAGGUAGGCUUCAAUCGUUUGUGACUCAUACACCGUAUUUGUCCAGUUCUGGGUUUGCAAAGUAUGUGCUUACAUUUAGGAGAAGCCUAUAAACAUAUGAUGAAGUAAAGGUAGGCAACGAGUGUGGUCAAUAUGAUAUUCUUCUGAGGCCAUUCUUGAACCCCUACUUUAACUAGCAUGGUGGGAAUAACUUAACUAAGUGCAAUGUG
This 247-nucleotide long non-coding RNA is filed under the name Malus domestica (apple). Its description in RNAcentral is "long non-coding RNA (MDOM_LNC004875)". Lineage: Eukaryota; Viridiplantae; Streptophyta; Magnoliopsida; Rosales; Rosaceae. The record is from RNAcentral.